RNAcentral lists this ribosomal RNA (497 nucleotides) under uncultured bacterium. Its description in RNAcentral is "partial 16S ribosomal RNA". It matches the Rfam family "Bacterial small subunit ribosomal RNA", at positions 28 to 507 of the family's 1533-position model. The record is from RNAcentral.
GAUGAACGCUGGCGGCGUGCCUAAUACAUGCAAGUCGAGCGAACAGACGAGGAGCUUGCUCCUCUGACGUUAGCGGCGGACGGGUGAGUAACACGUGGAUAACCUACCUAUAAGACUGGGAUAACUUCGGGAAACCGGAGCUAAUACCGGAUAAUAUAUUGAACCGCAUGGUUCUAUAGUGAAAGACGGUUUUGCUGUCACUUAUAGAUGGAUCCGCGCCGCAUUAGCUAGUUGGUAAGGUAACGGCUUACCAAGGCAACGAUGCGUAGCCGACCUGAGAGGGUGAUCGGCCACACUGGAACUGAGACACGGUCCAGACUCCUACGGGAGGCAGCAGUAGGGAAUCUUCCGCAAUGGGCGAAAGCCUGACGGAGCAACGCCGCGUGAGUGAUGAAGGUCUUCGGAUCGUAAAACUCUGUUAGUAGGGAAGAACAAAUGUGUAAGUAACUAUGCACGUCUUGACGGUACCUAAUCAGAAAGCCACGGCUAACUACGUG